GUUGGCGGCGCGGCGGGAGAAGUCCCUCUAGCAGGCCUGGCUCUCCCCCGCCCCCAGGGUUGGUUUUUCCCAGCUGCGGAGGUUGGGCCAGGGGCAGGGGUGCGAGGAGAGUCGGCGCCCGCUGCGCGGAGCCGGGAAGUCGCCGCGACUCCGGUGAGACUCAGAGUUGUCUCCGGAGGUGACGGGCGCGGAGGUGAGCGGUGGGGAGCAAGCGGCGACGGCGAAAACGCGGAGGCUGCGCCGUGGCCCCUUACCAUCUUUUGAAGGGAUAGUAGCGUAGGUCCAGGGUCCCACCGCCGCUUUGUUCGCAGCCUCUCCCUAAGGUACUCUUUGGAGAUGACUUGAACCCCCUCUAUGAUCCGAGGGUCUGGCUGGGGCGGGGGGGUGGGGGGGGGAGCGACAGCUGUUAGGUCCUCCAUUUCCUGCUAAUCCGGGAAGGUACCAAAAGAGAUGAAAAGACUCCUGUAACCUGAAACUUCCCUCCGUUCCAAACCUGGACCGGGAGCUGAGGUUCGGGCGGGGGCGGAGACCCCGGAAGGCGGGUCGGCAGCCGAGGCGGUGGGGGACGGAGCUAGGAGAGAGUGAGAAGUUUGGUCAGGAAGACGCUGGGGAUUAAGAAGUUAGACUUGGGGGACGAAUCUGAUCGGGAAAGAGGAGGGCGGGGGGCUGGAAGAGUGUAUAUAUAGUGUGGGCCUGGGCAGAAGGAAGACUUUACGCUCGGUGUCUCGGGACGCGCGCCCCUCUCCCGGGGAAAGAUGUCCUGAAGCGGAUCGAGCGCGAGGCGCCAACAAAAGAGGCAAGAGGGUGCCACCCGGGGGCGGCGGCAGGAAGAGGAGCGGGAGGAAGAGCGCGGAGCUGAACGUCCCGAGCCUCCGUGCGUACUUUUUGGAGGGAAGGGGCGGGGGAAUCGGCCCCGGGAGGGGGACGCCGGGUGACGAGGGGUUUAGCCAAGUUCCGGCUGCGGCGUCCCUCCUCUGCUCCCACGAGAGGAAAGUUUUCUCCAGACGCUUCCGGCCGGCCGGCGCCCUCCGGACCAGCUCCCGAGCCUUCGGAGCGGGCGCCGUCCCAGCCCAGCU
This 1076-nucleotide long non-coding RNA is filed under the name Lynx canadensis (Canada lynx). RNAcentral describes it as "lncRNA (ENSLCNG00005005149.1)". The record is from RNAcentral. Lineage: Eukaryota; Metazoa; Chordata; Mammalia; Carnivora; Felidae.